This 197-nucleotide ribosomal RNA is filed under the name uncultured bacterium. RNAcentral describes it as "partial 16S ribosomal RNA". It matches the Rfam family "Bacterial small subunit ribosomal RNA", at positions 1304 to 1500 of the family's 1533-position model. The record is from RNAcentral.
UCUGCAACUCGACUGCAUGAAGCUGGAAUCGCUAGUAAUCGCGAAUCAGAAUGUCGCGGUGAAUACGUUCCCGGGCCUUGUACACACCGCCCGUCACACCAUGGGAGUUGGAAGCACCCGAAGUCGGUGACCUGACCGAAAGGGAGGAGCCGCCGAAGGUGAAGCCAGCGACUGGGGUGAAGUCGUAACAAGGUAGC